Molecule: transfer RNA, 73 nt
Filed under: Stylophora pistillata
Lineage: Eukaryota; Metazoa; Cnidaria; Anthozoa; Scleractinia; Pocilloporidae
Description: tRNA-Thr
Rfam family: tRNA
About the family: Transfer RNA (tRNA) molecules are approximately 80 nucleotides in length. Their secondary structure includes four short double-helical elements and three loops (D, anti-codon, and T loops).
Source: Rfam by way of RNAcentral
GGCUUGUUAGCUCAAUUGGAAGAGCGCUGCACUUGUAUUGCAGAGUUUAGUGGUUCGAAUCCCGUACAGGCCU